Molecule: ribosomal RNA, 253 nt
Filed under: uncultured bacterium
Lineage: Bacteria
Description: partial 16S ribosomal RNA
Rfam family: Bacterial small subunit ribosomal RNA
Source: RNAcentral
UACGUAGGGUGCGAGCGUUAAUCGGAAUUACUGGGCGUAAAGCGUGCGCAGGCGGUUCGUUGUGUCGGCGGUGAAAGCCCCGGGCUCAACCUGGGAAUGGCCGUUGAAACUGGCGAACUAGAGUGUGGCAGAGGGGGGUGGAAUUCCACGUGUAGCAGUGAAAUGCGUAGAGAUGUGGAGGAACACCGAUGGCGAAGGCAGCCCCCUGGGCUAACACUGACGCUCAUGCACGAAAGCGUGGGGAGCAAACAGG